UUGGCCUCGAUCAAAGCUGAAGCUGUUGGUUUUAAGCAAACGCCUGCAGAAACGUCUUUCCGUGGCCGGUUGCCCAUUUCAGAACUUUGGAAACCCCAUGGUCAAUUCAUCAGAAAGAAACAUCG
This 125-nucleotide small nucleolar RNA is filed under the name Ictidomys tridecemlineatus (thirteen-lined ground squirrel). The record is from RNAcentral. Lineage: Eukaryota; Metazoa; Chordata; Mammalia; Rodentia; Sciuridae.